UACAGAGGGGGCAAGCGUUGUUCGGAAUUACUGGGCGUAAAGGGCGCGUAGGCGGCCCGCUAAGUCGAACGUGAAAUCCCCGAGCUCAACUCGGGAACUGCGUCCGAUACUGGCGGGCUUGAAUCCGGGAGAGGGAUGCGGAAUUCCAGGUGUAGCGGUGAAAUGCGUAGAUAUCUGGAGGAACACCGGUGGCGAAGGCGGCAUCCUGGACCGGCACUGACGCUGAGGAGCGAAAGCCAGGGGAGCAAACGGG
RNAcentral lists this ribosomal RNA (253 nucleotides) under uncultured bacterium. Its description in RNAcentral is "partial 16S ribosomal RNA". It matches the Rfam family "Bacterial small subunit ribosomal RNA", at positions 524 to 776 of the family's 1533-position model. The record is from RNAcentral.